Molecule: ribosomal RNA, 492 nt
Filed under: uncultured bacterium
Lineage: Bacteria
Description: partial 16S ribosomal RNA
Rfam family: Bacterial small subunit ribosomal RNA
Source: RNAcentral
AGUGAACGCUGGCGGUAGGCCUAACACAUGCAAGUCGAACGGCAGCACAGUAAGAGCUUGCUCUUACGGGUGGCGAGUGGCGGACGGGUGAGGAGUACAUCGGAAUCUACUUUUUCGUGGGGGAUAACGUAGGGAAACUUACGCUAAUACCGCAUACGACCUACGGGUGAAAGCAGGGGAUCUUCGGACCUUGCGCGAUUAAAUGAGCCGAUGUCGGAUUAGCUAGUUGGCGGGGUAAGGGCCCACCAAGGCGACGAUCCGUAGCUGGUCUGAGAGGAUGAUCAGCCACACUGGAACUGAGACACGGUCCAGACUCCUACGGGAGGCAGCAGUGGGGAAUAUUGGACAAUGGGCGCAAGCCUGAUCCAGCCAUACCGCGUGGGUGAAGAAGGCCUUCGGGUUGUAAAGCCCUUUUGUUGGGAAAGAAAAGCAGCAGGUUAAUACCCCGCUGUUCUGACGGUACCCAAAGAAUAAGCACCGGCUAACUUCGUG